UAGGGAAUCUUCGGCAAUGGACGAAAGUCUGACCGAGCAACGCCGCGUGAGUGAAGAAGGUUUUCGGAUCGUAAAACUCUGUUGUUAGAGAAGAACAAGGACGUUAGUAACUGAACGUCCCCUGACGGUAUCUAACCAGAAAGCCACGGCUAACUACGUGCCAGCAGCCGCGGUAAUACGUAGGUGGCAAGCGUUGUCCGGAUUUAUUGGGCGUAAAGCGAGCGCAGGCGGUUUCUUAAGUCGGAUGUGAAAGCCCCCGGCUCAACCGGGGAGGGUCAUUGGAAACUGGGAGACUUGAGUGCAGAAGGGGAGAGUGGAAUUCCAUGUGUAGCGGUGAAAUGCGUAGAUAUAUGGAGGAACACCAGUGGCGAAGGCGGCUCUCUGGUCUGUAACUGACGCUGAGGCUCGAAAGCGUGGGGAGCAAACAGG
RNAcentral lists this ribosomal RNA (429 nucleotides) under Gemmatimonadota bacterium. Its description in RNAcentral is "Gemmatimonadetes bacterium partial 16S ribosomal RNA". It matches the Rfam family "Bacterial small subunit ribosomal RNA", at positions 355 to 776 of the family's 1533-position model. Lineage: Bacteria; Pseudomonadati; Gemmatimonadota. The record is from RNAcentral.